UACGAAGGGUGCGAGCGUUGUUCGGAAUUAUUGGGCGUAAAGGGUUCGUAGGUUGGAAGGUAAGUCAAGUGUGAAAUCCCCGAGCUUAACUUGGGACGUGCACCUGAAACUGCUUUUCUUGAAUGUUGGAGAGGGUCGUAGAAUUGCUGGUGUAGGAGUGAAAUGCGUAGAUAUCAGGAGGAAUACCGAUGGCGAAGGCAGGUCUCUGGGCUGACACUGACGCUCAUGCACGAAAGCGUGGGGAGCAAACAGG
This 253-nucleotide ribosomal RNA is filed under the name uncultured bacterium. RNAcentral describes it as "partial 16S ribosomal RNA". It matches the Rfam family "Bacterial small subunit ribosomal RNA", at positions 524 to 776 of the family's 1533-position model. The record is from RNAcentral.